RNAcentral lists this unclassified non-coding RNA (583 nucleotides) under Zea mays. Its description in RNAcentral is "misc RNA Zm00001eb196480". Lineage: Eukaryota; Viridiplantae; Streptophyta; Magnoliopsida; Poales; Poaceae. The record is from RNAcentral.
CUCGUAGCGGAUGGAGCUGACGGGGAUGACGAGGUCCGGCGCGCGCCCGCCGGCGGUGGGUGGGGGCGGCUGGUGGCUCGGGUCCAGGCCGCAGAAGAGCUUGCGGAAGAAGAGGCUGCGCGCGGCCAGCACGCAGCGGUGCGCGUGCACCAGCCGGCCCUCCACGCUGAAGGCCACGUCGCUGAAGGCCUGCCCGUUGAUGAGCAGGUUCAGGUAGUCCAGCGACAGCGACUUGAGCGAGUCCUCCGAGCUCAUGAUCUCAUGUGCUUGUGCGGCCUGGAACUGGAACUGGAACUGGACGGCCCCCCGGUCGGUCCGGUCGGCGCGCGCGGCCUUUGUUUCCUGGGGCCGGACUCCGCCGCCGGAGCAGCGCUAGAGGCCGGGAGGGAUCGAUAAAGGCCGGCCGCGCUUGCGCGCGCGGAGCGGAUUUUUGGAGGGAUUGGGAUUGGGAGGGGGGGAAAGCGGAUGGAUGGAAAGAAAUUAAAGCGAGAAAGAAAGGCAGCACAGCACGCACGCACGCACGCACAGCGGCCGGGCGACGACGCAACUGUGUCUGUGUUUGUGUGGAGGGGAGAGGAAGACG